RNAcentral lists this long non-coding RNA (589 nucleotides) under Homo sapiens (human). RNAcentral's name for it is "non-protein coding lnc-MVP-3:9". The record is from RNAcentral. Lineage: Eukaryota; Metazoa; Chordata; Mammalia; Primates; Hominidae.
AAGCUUCUCAAGCGUCUGGCGCUUGGGGUCACUGCCCUCAAGGAGGCACCUGGAGGGGGGGAUGGCGUCCACUCCGAUGGGGAAUGAGGGGGAGAAGAAGAGCAGCUGGCCAUCUCAAGCUGCACCCUCCUUGAGAGGAGGUCCGGCUUCGUUAUCUCGUUCUGAGGAAUACCUGUCCCAGAUCAGUGCAGAACUCAUGGAGGAGGCUUUGUGCACUGCUUGCUGCCACUUGAACCCUGUGCCCAUCAAAAAAAAGCAGUCACAAGACCAAGCGACUCAGAUAUCCAAACGCGCAUUCUUCACCAAGACCUGAGGCACAGACACCUGGUGAGUGAGGCUUCAAGGGAGAUGCUCUUUGUCCUGGGAGAGAGCCCUCUCCCCUCUCUUCCACCAUCUCCUGCUCGGACAGAAACCGUACCUGCAGCAAGGCAUACCUCCUGCCAACUCCUGGUGAAAAGAACAUGCCUCAAAACUACUCUUUUGCCACUCGUUAACCACUUCCGUUUGUGGGGACCUCCUGGUCAUGAGCAGCAUCAUCCCGAAGCCUUCAAAGUGUUCUGGAUUCAUCACAGGACCCUCCAGCCUCAGC